Molecule: transfer RNA, 71 nt
Filed under: Liolaemus abaucan
Lineage: Eukaryota; Metazoa; Chordata; Lepidosauria; Squamata
Description: tRNA-Tyr
Source: RNAcentral
UGGUAAAAAGAGGAAUUUAACCCCCGUUAAUGGGACUACAGCCCACUGCCUAAACAUUCGGCCACUUUACC